Molecule: long non-coding RNA, 475 nt
Organism: Syzygium oleosum
Lineage: Eukaryota; Viridiplantae; Streptophyta; Magnoliopsida; Myrtales; Myrtaceae
Exons: 2
Source: RefSeq, a predicted model, not a curated record
CUACACCUUCACCUUCCUCUCCUUUCAACGAAAUAGCAGAAAACAAACAAACAUGAAGAGAAUCUCCAUUUGUUCUGUGCUCCUGCUCGUUCUCUUCCUGAUUGCUGGUAAUGGAAGCAUGAUGGCACGGGGGUCGCGCACAAUGGAGCCGGGGCGGGUCUUCUGCGAUAAGGAGUAUCUCACCACUCCAGGGGCAUGCACCAAUCAGAAGUGUUUGGCCGAGUGUAGGACCGCGUACGGCAGUUCGGCUAGUGGAUUUUGUAAGUCGGAGAAAGGCCCGAACGAUGUCUGCGACUGUCAUUACCCUUGCUAGUCCUAGAGCCGUCCCAUAACCGCCCAAUAAGCGGCAUAUUAUGUGCUGCAUAUGCUUUGCAGUUGUUGAAUCCCAACAUCUUAUGUACCUACUGACUACUAUUUAGCCGAUAUGCUCACAAAUAACAAUCUGAAAUAGGGUUUGCGCCGAUUUCAUCUACAA